GCGAACGCUGGCGGCAGGCUUAACACAUGCAAGUCGAACGCAUCCUUCGGGGUGGGUGGCAGACGGGUGAGUAACACGUGGGAACGUACCUUUUGGUUCGGAACAACUGAGGGAAACUUCAGCUAAUAUCGGAUACGCCCUUCGGGGGAAAGAUUUAUCGCCGAAAGAUCGGCCCGCGUCUGAUUAGCUAGUUGGUAGGGUAAUGGCCUACCAAGGCGACGAUCAGUAGCUGGUCUGAGAGGAUGAUCAGCCACACUGGGACUGAGACACGUCCCAGACUCCUACGGGAGGCAGCAGUGGGGAAUAUUGGACAAUGGGGGCAACCCUGAUCCAGCCAUGCCGCGUGAGUGAUGAAGGCCUUAGGGUUGUAAAGCUCUUUUAUCCGGGACGAUAAUGACGGUACCGGAAGAAUAAGCCCCGGCUAACUUCGU
Molecule: ribosomal RNA, 431 nt
Filed under: uncultured bacterium
Lineage: Bacteria
Description: bacterial SSU rRNA
Rfam family: Bacterial small subunit ribosomal RNA
Source: RNAcentral